AGGAGCAUUCUUCCGGUGAAAACCGGACAGAAAUCCUGCGUCGGCCGAAUGUGUCGGCGAGGAGCUCAUAGGCGGAGACACUGGCUAAUUGAGUCUGGCAACGGCCGGCUUCCUAGUACAGCCCUUUGGGCGUGGAACAGAAGUUGGUGCGGCUGGAACUCGGUGAUAAGCACCCUGUUGGGUAUCUGAAAGAGCAACCUUUUCGAGGGUUGGUCUUCAAUGCCAGGCACGACCUGGCCUCCCAUACCGACUGCUGUGAAGCGGUGCUGGUGGUUGGCUUGGAUGGUUGUGGGUUGGUCGUUGGUUGAGAAUUGCACAGUGGACGCGAGCAUCUUGUUUUCUGU
Molecule: unclassified non-coding RNA, 344 nt
Filed under: uncultured Actinomycetales bacterium
Lineage: Bacteria; Bacillati; Actinomycetota; Actinomycetes; Actinomycetales
Description: 16S-23S ribosomal RNA intergenic spacer
Source: RNAcentral